GAGGGUGUAGCUCAGUGGUAGAGCGAGCACUUAGCAUGCAUGAGGUCCUGGGUUCAACCCCGAGUACCCCCA
Molecule: transfer RNA, 72 nt
Organism: Camelus ferus (Wild Bactrian camel)
Lineage: Eukaryota; Metazoa; Chordata; Mammalia; Artiodactyla; Camelidae
Rfam family: tRNA
About the family: Transfer RNA (tRNA) molecules are approximately 80 nucleotides in length.
Source: Rfam